Molecule: non-coding RNA, 969 nt
Organism: Schizosaccharomyces pombe (fission yeast)
Lineage: Eukaryota; Fungi; Ascomycota; Schizosaccharomycetes; Schizosaccharomycetales; Schizosaccharomycetaceae
Source: the annotation of a GenBank genome assembly
AAAAAUGGAGCGAGAAACCUUUUAGGAGAUUUGGAUAUACUUAUAAAUAUCCAAAAGGGAACCUAACGGAACUAUAUACAAAACAAUAAAGGACAUAUCAAGACUAAAUCGCUAUGCCCGUCCAGUGAAGCUCACUGUUUAACAUAUCCUAAACGGAAAAACCAUUCCUAUCAUUCGUAAAUUCACGAAAAUUUUUAAAUUAUAUACAAUUUUUUCCUCCUAGGAUUUAUUUGGCCUUGUAUUGAGUCGAACUUGACGACGAAGGAUUUUCACCUUCACUAGCAAUGCCUUCUUCUGAAUCAGAUUCGGGAUUACUAGGAGGAUGCAAUAUAGACUGUAGGUGGUUCAUUUGCUUUAAAGUUUCAUCAAAAAUAUCUUUUCUCAAAUUCCAUGCUUUUACAUAAUUCGCGUUUUCUUCUUCUAACUCACGAAUAGCAUCUUGCAACUUUCCUAUUGAUCUGUAAACCCGGUCAGUCUAAAAUAUUCAAUAUAAAUCUGGAAACUUACUCUUGUUGUUCUGUUCUUGAUCUCAAUCCUUUUGACAUUAUUGGCUUGGCCAACUCGUCGUAUUGUUCACGCUUUCUUAAUUCUUCUUGGGCAACUAGUAAAUCUUGCUCAAGCUGGCUUAUUUCGGUUUUUUCUGCUUCACAAAAUGUUUCUGAAAAUAUUAAUAAAAACAUCACUGUACUUAAAGUUACGAAUUUAAUCACAUACGAGUCUUCUUCAGUUCUCCUUCGUAAACAUCCACUUCUUUAGCAUUCAUGUCUAAUUGCAUUUGCAAUCGAAGCCAAAAAGCAGAGAGAGCAGAAAAUUCAAUUUCUAAAUCCCUUAAGUUUGCUUCGUCUACAUUUUGAGCAGCAAAACCAAGACACCGACUAAUCAACCGUUUCAAAGGCCGUUCUUCCACAGUUAAGCGCGAUCGAAUCGCCGUCUCUGACAUAUCGGUUAACUUAAUAUUUUCAAAAAAAA